UGAACACUAAAGGCCUUCAGAAUAAGAAAUUCUUCAAUAGAGGAUUUAGCAUUCAACUUGGAACUAUUACCAGAUAAAGAAACACCUGUGAUUAUAAGAUUAAUAGCAGAUCUAAUGUUCAUGCUUUUAUUAUUGAAUCUACAUUGGUUCCUACAAAACCAAAUAACAUUAAAAAUAUUGACCACUGCUGACAGAAUCACAAGAUUGCAAAGAGGAGAGUAUUGAGAUGAGCAAAGCUUGAGAGGAUCAACCAGAGUUGAGAAGAUACGCUGCUUGUUGAGAAUUGUACCAAUCCAGUUCCAAAGAUGAUUAGCAAAAGCGCAAUCGAUAAAGAGAUGAUGGGUUGUUUCUGCAGAAAUG
RNAcentral lists this long non-coding RNA (360 nucleotides) under Trifolium pratense (red clover). RNAcentral describes it as "long non-coding RNA (TPRA_LNC002076)". The record is from RNAcentral. Lineage: Eukaryota; Viridiplantae; Streptophyta; Magnoliopsida; Fabales; Fabaceae.